GAUGAACGCUAGCGGGAGGCCUAACACAUGCAAGCCGAGCGGUAUUGUUUCUUCGGAAAUGAGAGAGCGGCGUACGGGUGCGUAACACGUGUGCAACCUGCCUUUAUCUGGGGGAUAGCCUUUCGAAAGGAAGAUUAAUACUCCAUAAUAUAUUGAACGGCAUCGUUUAAUAUUGAAAGCUCCGGCGGAUAGAGAUGGGCACGCGCAAGAUUAGCUAGUUGGUGAGGUAACGGCUCACCAAGGCGAUGAUCUUUAGGGGGCCUGAGAGGGUGAUCCCCCACACUGGUACUGAGACACGGACCAGACUCCUACGGGAGGCAGCAGUGAGGAAUAUUGGUCAAUGGGUGCAAGCCUGAACCAGCCAUCCCGCGUGAAGGACGACUGCCCUAUGGGCUGUAAACUUCUUUUGUAUAGGGAUAAACCUACCCUCGAGAGGGUAGCUGAAGGUACUAUACGAAUAAGCACCGGCUAACUCCGUG
RNAcentral lists this ribosomal RNA (479 nucleotides) under uncultured bacterium. RNAcentral's name for it is "partial 16S ribosomal RNA". It matches the Rfam family "Bacterial small subunit ribosomal RNA", at positions 28 to 507 of the family's 1533-position model. The record is from RNAcentral.